This 493-nucleotide ribosomal RNA is filed under the name uncultured bacterium. RNAcentral describes it as "partial 16S ribosomal RNA". It matches the Rfam family "Bacterial small subunit ribosomal RNA", at positions 29 to 507 of the family's 1533-position model. The record is from RNAcentral.
AGUGAACGCUGGCGGUAGGCCUAACACAUGCAAGUCGAACGGCAGCACAGUAAGAGCUUGCUCUUACGGGUGGCGAGUGGCGGACGGGUGAGGAAUACAUCGGAAUCUACUUUUUCGUGGGGGAUAACGUAGGGAAACUUACGCUAAUACCGCAUACGACCUACGGGUGAAAGCAGGGGAUCUUCGGACCUUGCGCGAUUGAAUGAGCCGAUGUCGGAUUAGCUAGUUGGCGGGGUAAAGGCCCACCAAGGCGACGAUCCGUAGCUGGUCUGAGAGGAUGAUCAGCCACACUGGAACUGAGACACGGUCCAGACUCCUACGGGAGGCAGCAGUGGGGAAUAUUGGACAAAUGGGCGCAAGCCUGAUCCAGCCAUACCGCGUGGGUGAAGAAGGCCUUCGGGUUGUAAAGCCCUUUUGUUGGGAAAGAAAAGCAGCAGGUUAAUACCCCGCUGUUCUGACGGUACCCAAAGAAUAAGCACCGGCUAACUUCGUG